This 202-nucleotide long non-coding RNA is filed under the name Zostera marina. Its description in RNAcentral is "long non-coding RNA (ZMAR_LNC005600)". The record is from RNAcentral. Lineage: Eukaryota; Viridiplantae; Streptophyta; Magnoliopsida; Alismatales; Zosteraceae.
GAUGAAGCACGGAAUCUGCUACCAGUGGGCUCGCGGGGUUGCGAGGAGGGCCGGAGGCUUUGGAGUCCACGACGCGCGCUCUACGUCAAACACCUGCAGAAGAGGAGGGGAAUCGGUGACUCACGUGGGAGUAGGCGAUUCGGGCUCCUUGGUUUGCUCUAGUGGGAGUGUGAGUCAAGAGAGGAUCAGUUGAGGAUAGAGG